Andrographis paniculata is the source of this 1523-nucleotide long non-coding RNA. RefSeq lists it as uncharacterized. The record is from RefSeq and is a predicted model, not a curated record. The transcript is spliced from 3 exons. NCBI's taxonomy places the organism in Eukaryota, Viridiplantae, Streptophyta, Magnoliopsida, Lamiales, Acanthaceae.
AAUACAAUGCCUUUGGGAUGAAUGCAGCACCCUAUAAUGACCCUUCUUCUUCUGCUGAAUUCAGGUAAUCUUUUGACAGCUUUAUCUGAUCAUUCGGGUGGAAAACAUCAAUUGUGGUGGGACGAAGUUGAUAUAUAGUCUUAAUCAAGUGUCUGAGAUAUGUAACACGACGACAUACCCGGAUGGUUUUGUCCAGAGAUCCAGUGUACAGCUUGUCGUAUGUAGGUGAAAUGCAGAGGCACGUGACAGCCUUAGAGUGUUCGCGGGCUUCUUGUAUCAGCCGGGGAACUCUUUUGUCAGUGUCCCAAACCUCCACACAGAAAGAAAACCUGCUGUAAAUCGAAGGUUUCUUGCUAGCUAUGGAGAUUGCUUGGGAUCUUGUUGAAAGCUUACCUUAAUAGUUCCAUCAGAAUGGCUGGAGAUCAACCAGUUUCUUACAUGAAGUAAUGACAGAAUUUCUCCAUUCAUGGACACGUCCAGCUCGGGCCCUUCGACGAAUGACCAUAGCUCAGCCUGCAGAUCAUAGAGUCAGUGCCAGUGAAAAAAUCGAAGAGAAUUCAUCGUGCCCAGUCGCAACUCACAGCAUCAAGCGACUGCGACUUCAUCAGUGCUUUUAUUACAUCGUGUGCUACGGCGCAGCUCUUCUUAAGCCUCCUCAAGGUUUUCCAGACGCUUUUGGCGCACGCCGUGAUCUCAGUCUGCCCAUCUAAAAUGCGGAGCUUGUUCGUUACUAAAUCACUGAAAGUAAAACACAGAAGACACUACCUUUUUCGCUGAUGAAGCCUUUAAGAGCAAGGGCUGCCAAGAUCUUCUCUUCCACAUUCCUCGACGACUGCAGCACGUUUAUGAACUCGUCGAGCAGAAACUUACGGGCGAUUACCCGCCCCCCGCAGUCGGGAAGUUUAUACAGCAUGUGCACAAGCCAUGUUGCUAUAACUAGACAAGAUCUUGCUAUCUCAAUUGAACUGCUCCUGAAGCAUUCCUUCAAUGCUUUGAAGAUUACGCCUUUCUCGUGGCUCGAAAGCACGAAGGCCAUUCUCUUCUCCCAAAUCCUCGACGCAUUUUCGUCUUCCCUCUGAAAUUAAUGAUAAACCAUGAGAAAAUACUGGUCAAACCCGGCUAACUUUAGCAACCGGGCUUCAAUGUCCAACUUCCUUGAGGAUUUUUUACGCCCCAAAAGUGACGAAAAUGCUCCAAGGGCUGUAACUUGGGAAGUCGGGAAGUCGCUUCUCUGCAGUGCUUCUAUGAAUGCAUCCAUGGCUUCUUCCCGGUAAAUACUCAUCUUCCUCGGCGCAGCCUGAGAUGCGAAAGAUUUAAAAUUGAUCGCGGGUUGUUCGUUUGUUUUGUCGUUGGUUGAAGAGAUGCUAUGAGAAAUGAAAACAAACCAAGAGAUCUAGCUGUAGAAGAAGUGUAGCAGUGGCAAGUUUUUGAUCCAUUGGAGACAUCUGUAGAUGAACCAAUAGGCUGUGCAUUGUGCUGAAUGUUCCUUCUUCCUUAAUUUUAUGCAAUAUUUGGUUGCUCAA